GAUGAACGCUGGCGGUGUGCCUAAUACAUGCAAGUCGAGCGAACAGACGAGGAGCUUACUCCUCUGACGUUAGCGGCGGACGGGUGAGUAACACGUGGAUAACCUACCUAUAAGACUGGGAUAACUUCGGGAAACCGGAGCUAAUACCGGAUAACAUGUUGAACCGCAUGGUUCAACAGUGAAAGACGGUCUUGCUGUCACUUAUAGAUGGAUCCGCGUCGCAUUAGCUAGUUGGUAAGGUAACGGCUUACCAAGGCAACGAUGCGUAGCCGACCUGAGAGGGUGAUCGGCCACACUGGAACUGAGACACGGUCCAGACUCCUACGGGAGGCAGCAGUAGGGAAUCUUCCGCAAUGGGCGAAAGCCUGACGGAGCAACGCCGCGUGAGUGAAGAAGGUCUUCGGAUCGUAAAACUCUGCUAUUAGGGAAGAACAAAUGUGUAAGUAACUAUGCACGUCUUGACGGUACCUAAUCAGAAAGCCACGGCUAACUACGUG
Molecule: ribosomal RNA, 497 nt
Filed under: uncultured bacterium
Lineage: Bacteria
Description: partial 16S ribosomal RNA
Rfam family: Bacterial small subunit ribosomal RNA
Source: RNAcentral